GACGAACGCUGGCGGCGUGCCUAAUACAUGCAAGUAGAACGCUGAAGGAGGAGCUUGCUCUUCUGGAUGAGUUGCGAACGGGUGAGUAACGCGUAGGUAACCUGCCUGGUAGCGGGGGAUAACUAUUGGAAACGAUAGCUAAUACCGCAUAAGAGUAGAUGUUGCAUGACAUUUGCUUAAAAGGUGCAAUUGCAUCACUACCAGAUGGACCUGCGUUGUAUUAGCUAGUUGGUGGGGUAACGGCUCACCAAGGCGACGAUACAUAGCCGACCUGAGAGGGGGAUCGGCCACACUGGGACUGAGACACGGCCCAGACUCCUACGGGAGGCAGCAGUAGGGAAUCUUCGGCAAUAGACGGAAGUCUGACCGAGCAACGCCGCGGGAGUGAAGAAGGUUUUCGGAUCGUAAAGCUCUGUUGUAAGAGAAGAACGAGUGUGAGAGUGGAAAGUUCACACUGUGACGGUAUCUUACCAGAAAGGGACGGCUAACUACGUG
Molecule: ribosomal RNA, 495 nt
Filed under: uncultured bacterium
Lineage: Bacteria
Description: partial 16S ribosomal RNA
Rfam family: Bacterial small subunit ribosomal RNA
Source: RNAcentral